GGCGGAGGCAUGCUUGGCGCCGGCUGGGCCGAGGCCAGUAGCGGCCAGGCGACCGCGAGCACCAAAAACACCACCGCCGCCGCCGUCAAGCUCAUCCUCGUCAUGGCCGGCCGGGCCGCGCGUUCCUGCAUGCAACGAAGUGUUGCUUAUGAUAGGCCUGCAUCUUUGUUCCAGAUCUCUUUUGAAAUAUAUCUUGGUUUCAGAUGGUGGUCAAUUCAUCGCAUUAUAUUGCGGAUGUAAGGUGGCUGCAGCUCGAGACCUUCACAUCACACCCCGGCACAGAACCGUUUGCAUCAGAUUCUGACGUGACCUGCGGCUUGCUGCUGUUGUUCAUCGCAGCAGCACAAUCUGGUGGCACGUCAGGUUCGUUGAAUCGCCCAUUGCAUUGGCCGUUGUUGUGCAGGCACUAUUUGGAAAGCAACAAUGCCGCUGCAAUCUCUAAUGAACUGGUACCAAGGGAUACGGAUACCCAUGGGUCCCCUCAACCAGGAUACUGGCCGGAUCUAACAAGUGAGCCUACUCGAUCAGGGCGUGCGGGUCAAGGAUGUGAAGAUACUUGGAGUACAAGGUAAGGAAGGUCAGAUGAUUCAAGAUCAGCUCGGAUAUUGCAGGACACGGGUUGUAGCCGAACUCUGCUAGGUUUCCAUGUAAUAGCCGACUAGUCCAGAUCCAAACCGACUUGUAAUCCCUCACUCAGCAGCCAAUAUAAGCGGCCAGGGGCGCCUCCUGAGAGCAACCAAUCCAAUCCCAACAAUCUCAUCUAUCUCGAUUUACAAGCAAUACAAACCACCAAACAUACAGGACGUAGGGUAUUACCCUCCGGAGGUUCGAACCUGUCUAAACCCUUUGUGUCCCUCGUGUUCUCGUGAUCACCUUCGAGUUAUUGGUCUUGCGAUCCCCUCUAUCUAUAAAUUAACCACUUGGGUAACCCUCUU
Molecule: long non-coding RNA, 935 nt
Organism: Setaria italica (foxtail millet)
Lineage: Eukaryota; Viridiplantae; Streptophyta; Magnoliopsida; Poales; Poaceae
Exons: 4
Source: RefSeq, a predicted model, not a curated record